UGACAAAUCUGCAAGAUUCGAUGCAAGUGCACUACUAAAUGAUUAAAACCCCAGGUUCUGCCCUCCGGGAAUGUGUGAGAGUAUUAUAUUACUCCUGAAUAAUGUAACCACUGCAGUUUUCUGCCAGUUCAAAAAUAUAGCCAAGAUGCCCUUUUUCACUGUAUUUACCAAUGACAUUCUACAAGCCAUCUUCCCUGUAGCAAGUUUCCCUAUUUUCUUUUGCUUUAGUUUAU
RNAcentral lists this long non-coding RNA (233 nucleotides) under Homo sapiens (human). RNAcentral describes it as "HSALNT0055702". Lineage: Eukaryota; Metazoa; Chordata; Mammalia; Primates; Hominidae. The record is from RNAcentral.